GCAGUCGAACGUGAAGCCACCUUCGGGUGGUGGAAAGUGGCAGACGGGUGAGUAACGCGUGGGAACGUGCCCUUCGGUUCGGGAUAACCCAGGGAAACUUGGGCUAACACCGGAUACGCCCUUCGGGGGAAAAAUUUAUUGCCGAAGGAUCGGCCCGCGUCGGAUUAGCUUGUUGGUGGGGUAAAAGCCUACCAAGGCGACGAUCCGUAGCUGGUCUGAGAGGAUGAUCAGCCACACUGGGACUGAGACACGGCCCAGACUCCUACGGGAGGCAGCAGUGGGGAAUAUUGGACAAUGGGCGCAAGCCUGAUCCAGCCAUGCCGCGUGGGUGAAGAAGGCCUUAGGGUUGUAAAUCCCUUUCAGCGGGGAAGAUAAUGACGGUACCCGCAGAAGAAGCCCCGGCUAACUCCGUGCCAGCAGCCGCGGUAAUACGGAGGGGGCUAGCGUUGUUCGGAAUUACUGGGCGUAAAGCGCGCGUAGGCGGGCCUGCAAGUCGGGGGUGAAAGCCCGAGGCUCAACCUCGGAACUGCCUUCGAUACUGCGGGUCUUGAGUCCGGGAGAGGUGAGUGGAAUUCCUAGUGUAGAGGUGAAAUUCGUAGAUAUUAGGAAGAACACCAG
RNAcentral lists this ribosomal RNA (618 nucleotides) under uncultured bacterium. RNAcentral's name for it is "bacterial SSU rRNA". It matches the Rfam family "Bacterial small subunit ribosomal RNA", at positions 57 to 712 of the family's 1533-position model. The record is from RNAcentral.